This 299-nucleotide ribosomal RNA is filed under the name Clostridioides difficile. RNAcentral describes it as "partial 23S ribosomal RNA". It matches the Rfam family "Bacterial large subunit ribosomal RNA", at positions 1971 to 2268 of the family's 2925-position model. The record is from RNAcentral. Lineage: Bacteria; Bacillati; Bacillota; Clostridia; Peptostreptococcales; Peptostreptococcaceae.
GUCGGGUAAGUUCCGACCCGCACGAAAGGCGUAACGAUUUGGGCACUGUCUCAACAACAGACUCGGUGAAAUUGUAAUUCCGGUGAAGAUGCCGGAUACCGGCGACAGGACGGAAAGACCCCAUGGAGCUUUACUGUAGCUUGACAUUGGGUCUUGGUACUACAUGUACAGGAUAGGUGGGAGGCUUUGAAACCAGGACGCCAGUUUUGGCGGAGCCAUCCUUGGGAUACCACCCUUGUAGUACUGGGACUCUAACCAUAGGCCAUGAAUCUGGUCUUGGGACACUGUCAGGUGGGCAG